AAGCACCAGUCUGUGAAUCAGCUGGUGACGAAGUAUUGCGUGUGUCACUUUUUCAUCAGGUUUCAUUAGCUUUUGUUAGAAAUUCGUCAAGUGCGGUGACCGUGGGAUGGCAGGAUGAAAGGCCACCCCUUCUGGACGUGUUAGAGGGCGCCAUCCCAGUCCAAAAGCCCGUGACGAGCUGGAAGCAAGGCAGUGGUGCUCCUCCCACGCCCUGAAUGGAGCUUUGUUGAGUGCGACGGUCUUCAAUUGACAUUUUUGCCAGGUGGCACAGGCGACGAGGACGGUGGUCUGGGGUCACGGGAACAGCCUGAAUUAAGCCGUGGAGCCGCGUCUUUACGGCUGGCCACGGUGAACUCAGCCCCAACUGAGCCCUAAAUGUGACCCUCCAACCACCACCUCCAGCCACCACUACAGGAACCAUCACCACCAUCACCACCACCAUCGCCACCAUCAUCACCACCAUCAUCACCGCCUCACCACCACCUGCACGACCUCCAUGACCAGUCCUGCCACCACCGUCAGCGGCACAGGUUUAGUGCAAGUUCCUGACGUCAUCGUGUUGCCGCACCUGUGAAUCAGUAAUUGGAACAUUUGUAUUGGGGCGUCAAGAUGUAAGGAAUCUGGCUAACUCCGUGAUUGGUUGACACACCCAGCAAUGCUCACCUCAUGUCUGUUGGUUAUGGAUUCUAAAUAUCCGGAUGGUUUGGCUGACACGUCCAGCUGUUCUGAUCUGACGUCUGUCGCUCAAGUGUUACUGCUGCACCUCAUCAUCGGUGUUCCUGGUGAUGCUGGUCAUUAUAACACGGAAAUGUAACUGCAUAACAGAAAAAAAGAAAACAACGAAGACUGAACUAAAUUGGCCAACUUUAUUGAAAUAUCUUUUCUGCUAUUUGUUAGAGGAGCGGCAAUUUUUUUGUUUUUUUUUUGUUUUGUUUUUCUUGCAGCUCUUGACUUGCUUCCUGGGAGAAUAAAGUAAAAAACAAGUGGCACCGCAGUCAUGUAGCUCCCUUGCUCGCUGCACUGCCCCCUGCCGCAGCCAUGAGGGAAGACACACAACAUAGGAAGCACGUACAAGAAACCUACACGCCUACACGUGGCUGUCCCUCUAUGAAACAUACACUACUACCCAAUAGUUAUUUAUUUAAUCUUAUAAAAGCACCUUUUUGACUUGACACUAA
Long non-coding RNA from Scylla paramamosain (green mud crab), 1178 nucleotides. RefSeq lists it as uncharacterized. The record is from RefSeq and is a predicted model, not a curated record. Lineage: Eukaryota; Metazoa; Arthropoda; Malacostraca; Decapoda; Portunidae. The transcript has 4 exons.